Molecule: ribosomal RNA, 424 nt
Filed under: uncultured bacterium
Lineage: Bacteria
Description: partial 16S ribosomal RNA
Rfam family: Bacterial small subunit ribosomal RNA
Source: RNAcentral
GUGGGGAAUCUUGCGCAAUGGGCGAAAGCCUGACGCAGCCAUGCCGCGUGAAUGAUGAAGGUCUUAGGAUUGUAAAAUUCUUUCACCGGGGACGAUAAUGACGGUACCCGGAGAAGAAGCCCCGGCUAACUUCGUGCCAGCAGCCGCGGUAAUACGAAGGGGGCUAGCGUUGCUCGGAAUUACUGGGCGUAAAGGGAGCAUAGGCGGAUAGUUUAGUCAGAGGUGAAAGCCCAGGGCUCAACCUUGGAAUUGCCUUUGAUACUGGCUAUCUUGAGUAUGGAAGAGGUAUGUGGAACUCCGAGUGUAGAGGUGAAAUUCGUAGAUAUUCGGAAGAACACCAGUGGCGAAGGCGACAUACUGGUCCAUUACUGACGCUGAGGCUCGAAAGCGUGGGGAGCAAACAGGAUUAGAUACCCGAUAGUCC